Molecule: ribosomal RNA, 408 nt
Filed under: uncultured bacterium
Lineage: Bacteria
Description: partial 16S ribosomal RNA
Rfam family: Bacterial small subunit ribosomal RNA
Source: RNAcentral
GACGAACGCUGGCGGCGUGCUUAACACAUGCAAGUCGAACGAAGUGGCGAACGGGUGAGUAACGCGUAAUCAACCUGCCCUUCAGAGGGGGACAACAGUUGGAAACGACUGCUAAUACCGCAUACUGAAGGAGGGGAUUGCGUCUGAUUAGGUAGUUGGAGGGGUACCGGCGCACCAAGGCGAUGCUCAGUAGCCGGUCGGAGAGGAUGACCGGCGACAUUUGGACUGAGACACGGGCCAGACUCCUACGGGAGGCAGCAGUGGGGAAUCUUCGGAAAUGGGGGGAACCCUGACCGAGCAACGCCGCGUGAGUGAAGAAGGUUUUCGGAUCGUAAAGCUCUGUUGUUAAGGAGGCGGUACUUAACCAGAAAGGGACGGCUAACUACGUGCCAGCAGCCGCGGUAAUAC